CCUACGGGUGGCAGCAGUGGGGAAUAUUGGGCAAUGGGCGCAAGCCUGACCCAGCAACGCCGCGUGAAGGAAGAAGGUCUUCGGGUUGUAAACUUCUUUUCUGAGGGACGAAGAAAGUGACGGUACCCCAGGAAUAAGCCACGGCUAACUACGUGCCAGCAGCCGCGGUAAUACGUAGGUGGCAAGCGUUAUCCGGAUUGAUUGGGUGUAAAGGGUGCGUAGGUGGGAAAGUAAGUCAGAUGUGAAAACGCAGGGCUCAACCCUGGGCCUGCCUUUGAAACUGUUAUACUUGAGUGCUGGAGAGGUAAGCGGAAUUCCGGGUGUAGCGGUGAAAUGCGUAGAUAUACGGAGGAACACCAGGGGCGAAGGCGGAUUGCUGGACAGUAACUGACGCUGAGGCACGAAAGCGUGGGGAGCAAACAGGAUUAGAUACCCUAGUAGUC
RNAcentral lists this ribosomal RNA (443 nucleotides) under uncultured bacterium. RNAcentral describes it as "partial 16S ribosomal RNA". It matches the Rfam family "Bacterial small subunit ribosomal RNA", at positions 338 to 795 of the family's 1533-position model. The record is from RNAcentral.